RNAcentral lists this ribosomal RNA (476 nucleotides) under uncultured bacterium. Its description in RNAcentral is "bacterial SSU rRNA". It matches the Rfam family "Bacterial small subunit ribosomal RNA", at positions 30 to 507 of the family's 1533-position model. The record is from RNAcentral.
AUUGAACGCUGGCGGUAGGCCUAACACAUGCAAGUCGAACGCGAAAGUCCUUCGGGAUGAGUAGAGUGGCGGACGGGUGAGUAACGCGUAGGAAUCUAUCCUGUAGUGGGGGAUAACGUUUCGAAAGGAACGCUAAUACCGCAUACGCCCCAAGGGGGAAAGCGGGGGAUCUUCGGACCUCGUGCUAUAGGAGGAGCCUGCGUCGGAUUAGCUAGUUGGUGAGGUAAAGGCUCACCAAGGCGACGAUCCGUAGCUGGUCUGAGAGGAUGAUCAGCCACACCGGAACUGAGACACGGCCCAGACUCCUACGGGAGGCAGCAGUAGGGAAUAUUGGACAAUGGGGGGAACCCGUGAUCCAGCCAUGCCGCGUGAGGGAAGAAGGUCCUCUGGAUUGUAAACCUCUUUUGGCAGGAAACAAACCUGCGCUAUACGCGCAGCUGAGGGUACCUGCAGAAUAAGCACCGGCUAACUCCGUG